GUUGGUUGAUAGAGACAGCAGGAAGGUGGCCACGGAAGUGGGAAUCCACUAAGGAGUGUGUAACAACUCACCUACCCAAUCAACUGGCCCUGAAAAUGGAUGGCGCUGGUGCGACGGGCCCAUACCCGGCCGGCCAUAGCUGGAGGUCGGUCGGAGACAAAGGGGAACCGGAUCCACGGGGCACACGCGCCCCCGCCCGGCCCGGCACACACCCGCGCAAACUACGCGGUGACAAGUCCGAGUAGGAGGGCCGCUGCGGUGAGCCUUGAUGCCUAGAGCGUGGGCCCGGGUGGAGC
Molecule: non-coding RNA, 296 nt
Filed under: Myotis brandtii (Brandt's bat)
Lineage: Eukaryota; Metazoa; Chordata; Mammalia; Chiroptera; Vespertilionidae
Description: Eukaryotic large subunit ribosomal RNA
Rfam family: Eukaryotic large subunit ribosomal RNA
Source: Rfam by way of RNAcentral